This is a long non-coding RNA of Falco peregrinus (peregrine falcon), 2425 nucleotides long. RefSeq lists it as uncharacterized. Lineage: Eukaryota; Metazoa; Chordata; Aves; Falconiformes; Falconidae. The transcript is spliced from 3 exons. The record is from RefSeq and is a predicted model, not a curated record.
GAAUGCGAAGGACUAGGAAAAGGACCUUUCUUCUGAAUCAACCUCAUCUCAUCUCCCCGUGGAUUAAUGUCUCUGUUUUUUGUCUGUCUAGAGGGAAGCAGUUCUUGAACAGAAGCUUAGGGGGUGCCUAUGGGAAGGGGCAACCAGAUCUGGACGAUCAGGAGAGCUGUCCUGUUCCCUUCAGUUGCUGAACUUCACAAAUGCUAGAAAAGGCAACUUCUCUGCAAAGGAGAACUUGAAAAAGCCUCUGGAAGUCCAUCAUAGGAACUGACAUGUCAGAGAUACCUGGGUUGGGGGUCUGGAGAAGGAGGACUGAUAUGCUGUGAUGGAGAAGGCGCCACAGGGCAGGAAGGCAGGACAGCGAUGACAGAUGGUGCCCAGGGCAGGGUUAAAAGAUGCUGAUGACUGAGGAGAGCGGGAAUUUCCAUGGUGUAGUCUGGCACUGCACACUGCCUGUACCCAGCCUGCGAUAUUAAUCACUUUCACCAGCUUCAGAAAAAAUAGAUCCCUCCCCUCUAUGAUAUAAUAAUCAGAAAAUUCAACAGCCCCAAUUUAGCCAGAGCCAAAAACCUCAUUCUGGAAAUACUGCUCCAUUUUUCAAAGUCCUUACGCCUUUGAGAUCAGCUCUUGAUUUUAUUGGGAUGACUCCCCUUUCUGAAAGAACACUCCAGCACAGUCUCUGCAGCCUUUCUCCCAAACUGUAUGAAUCACUGCGGCCUCAUGGAACUGCCACAAGUCACUUGAGCAGCUAAAAAUAUCUCAAGAGGAAGCAGGACAAAAAUACACAUAUCCGCUGCUGUAACGCUGGGCUGGGAGGAUGCGCACCGAAUUAACAUCUUCCCUUUUCCGCAGUUUCAUUCCCUGCAGGUUUAUUCGUUAGUGAAAGCAGAUUCGAACAAACAUAGAGGUUUGUAGGAGACUUUUUGGAAAGUUGUUUUUUAGGGGAAGAGGGGUGGUGGAAAAAACUACUUGUGUAUUUCAAAUGUGGCCCACAGAUCUGAUUUCCAGUGUCUUCUGGCUCAGGCAUCUGUACUGUGGGGGUUUCUUCCAAAGUGAUGAGUAAAGCUUUGGAGCGUGUGUGUUUAUCUGAACUGUUCCUGCUUGGAAGAUUUCAUCCCAACAACUUUUAAGUGAGAAGCUACUGGCAACAAGGGGACAGAAGGAGCAUGCACAGCCGUGCCGCUAGCUGUUGUGUGUGAUGAGCUGCCUUGCAGAUGCUUUACCCAUUUGCUGGCGGACUCAGCCAGGUCCAGCAACAUCCAGUCUUGGAGCAAAAGCACCUUCAGAGUCCAUGGCUCUAAGCACUUGUGGUUUUUAAGAGCCAUCACACCCAGGCACAGGGGGCAUUAUCUCACUCCAGGUCCACAAACAACCUCCAGCUGAAGGCAGAUUUCUCCUCCAAUCACUUCUAUUUCACCUUAUACUUAGAAUUUACAGCACAGCGCUGGUUUCCUCUCCACUGUCUUUAAAAGGAGCCUGGAUGCAUAGCUCCGCUGGAGACAUCUGCAUCAGAGAUGUUUAUAGUCAUACUGAUGAGUCUGUCCCUGCACGUCCUCGAGGGAGUCUAUGCUGUCAAAAGACAAUAUACCAUCACUCCCAACAAUCCCACGUCAGCACUGGGAGGCUGCCAGUACAGCGUGAAAUCAAGUCCACAGAAUCCAACUGUCCUACAUACUCCGAGAAAUAUCAUCUAAGCGAUGAAAGGUCACCCAGACUCUGAAGUCUGAUGCUGUAUGUGUAAACAGGUUUAAGAAAAAAGUUUCCAGCAGAGGAUGGACAUAGAUUGUAGUUGCAGUGGCUCUAAUGCAUGACUACCUGUGCCAAAGAUAACACAUGCUCUCAGUGCUGGUUGCUGUAUAUAGAAUACAUACUUAGGCUUUAUGACAACUUGGAAGAAUGUCAUCUCCUAAAUGGAAACUAGUUACAGUGAAGUAGGUUGGCUGUUCCUCAACUUCUGAAGCAAGAGAUGCUGAAAUGAUAGGGGAAAGACACUGAGGCUGCAAAAAGUAUAUAAAAAAAAAUUGAGUUAGACUGCAAACAAACCAAAGAACAACAACAAAAAACCCCCUGGAAACAGUCAAAUAUUCUCCAUAAUGCUAUUUCCAGACACUACAUCUAUGGUCCAAAGCUGGCCUGGAUUUGUUUACGCUGGAAACAGUCAUAUCCGGGUUGAGGAUUACUACAUUCACUUCCAGAAAUAGCUGGAGAAUACAACCACCAAACAUCGCCUCCUGUACAAAGGUUAUAUCUGCUGGACCAGGCAGACCAGAGAUCCCCAGAUAGCUAAUGCCCGUGGAUUGAUGUCAUGAACAUCAGUGUUUUGCUUGACAUUGCAGGAAUAGAUCUUUGAGUACUGUAUACCUGCUGUCUACUUAACUUGCAUGAAUUUGGUCGAAAGAUUAAAAUAAAGCUUGUUUCACUGUGA